CAGAACUAUGCCCUCUUCCGGGGGAACUGGGAGCGCCUGCAUAGUGUCCUCCCCCACAGCUGGAUAACAGUGCGAUAAAGGCUGGAAAACACACAUGCCCGUCUCAGCAUGCUUCUCACUCACUGUACCAGCACGCGCACGCAGUAACGGAGCGUUAAGGUGGAGGAGAGCUGCAAAUACAUUUAAAGGACAAUGAACGCGGGCUGAUUUCAGAGAACUUGGUGCUAAUCAUUCAUCCAGACAUGCCAGAGAGAAGUUUGGUGUGGUGUAGGUAGGACUGGAAUAGAUUUCUGUGUAGGCUGACGGGUUAAGGCCAACAUCUGUAAGUCCUUGAUGUCUUCAGCUGGGGCUCUGAAAACUUGCAAUAAAAAUAAUACAAUUCAAAAACAGUCAUACCCAUUACAAAAUAUCUCAUCUCGUCACUGGAGUAUUCCCAUCACUGUGAUUCUUAUGAUACCUAUAAACUCCAACAAAGGUUCUGAAUAUUCCUUUAACAUGGCAUUUUAUGAGAUGUCCACUGACCGUGUCAUGUUUUAAUUUACAUGUCAUUUUUGUUCCAAGAGUAGACAAAUUCAUAUGCAUCAGUUAGUGCGCAGGAAACAUAUGUUUCAUUUUCACUGACACCUGUUUUGAGGGUGUUAUUUUGUAUCAUGUAUGUUUCAUGCAUGCAUUUGUAAAUGCCACCUGGGUAGAUACAAAAGCAUACAAAGAUGGAAAACUUUAAUCAGUGUUAUACAUGUGGAAGUCUUUACCAUUCAGUAAUGUGCUGUGAUGUGGCUCUGUUUGAGAUUAAAAACACAUUACAAGUUACUACAAUGUAAAAUAUUUUCAUCUACACUCCCUUCCAACUUUAUUAGGAACAUCUGUACACUUGCACUUUCAUGCAGUUCUCUAAUCAGCCAAUCAUGCAGAUACAGAUCAAGGAGUUUCAGUUAAUAUUCAGAUCAAACAUCAGAAUGGGGACAAAAUGUGAUCUCUAUGAUGUUAACCGUGGCAUAGCCGUUGCUACUAGAUGGGCUUGUUUGAGUACUUCAGAAACUUCUGAUCUCCUGGGAUUUGCACACGCAACAGUCUCUAGAAUUUACACAGUAUUGUGUGAAAAACAUCCUGUGAGCAGAGGGUCUGCAGGCUGAAACACCUUGUUGAUGAGAGAGAUCAGAGAAGUCUAUAGUAAUUCAAAUAACUACAACACCAGAAGACCACAUGAGCUGAUCAUGAGCACAGACUCGCCAACAAAUUUUUCAAAUCUUCAGCUGUCCAGGUUCGGUGAGUCUCUGCCCAUGAUAGCCUGUUCUUGGCUGGCAGGAGUGGAACCCAAUGUGAACGUUGUAUGCGUUCGUCUGAACUGAUUUGCUGACAUCAAAAUGCAGACGGUGAGCACUAGCCAAUGGGAUUUCUGCUUGCGCAUUAAUUCCGUUCGUUAGUUCCGGAGGCUUCUGCUUGGUCUUAAAGCCUUCGUUUUUCGCGAAUGGCUACAUUGCGAUUAAUCGAAAUAAAUUUUAUUAAAAUGUAAUUAUUAUUUCUCUAAAUGUGAGCGGGACAUGCCUCCUCCAAGCUAUAAAGGUUUCUACACCCCUGCCCAUACACCAUCACAGCCUUGAACGAGCAUCAUUGAGCUUUGAGAAGCAUUAACAGUUUUGUGGCUUAUUUCUGCUUGAAAUGACCUUACUGUCUUAAAGUUUAGAAAAUAAUAAAGCUAUAAAGUCAUCAAUGUUACAUCUGUGGUGUUGAAGUUGCCAAUUUAAAUUGUUAAAAUGAGUCCAAGAUUUACCUCAGACUUACCUGCUGCUUUAGCUCACAGUGAUAAAUUACAACAUUAUGAAAUAGAAACGUUAUAAAAGCUUUAAAAUAUGAAGCAUUACCGCUCUAAAAUUAUAUUUAAACGUGGGAUCCACUAGCUGUAUUAUUGUGAUGAACAAAACGUGGCAGUUGGCCGGACGUCUCUUUGUUAUCUGGGAUAUGACGGCAUGGCUGUGGCAGUAUUCAGAAAAUUACACCUAGUUGUGUAUGCACGAAGACACGUUCAAUAUUUCAUUAAUUUUUGCUCGCUGACUACUUAGCAGGAUUUGCGAGGAGUCUUCCAGGUGGUUCUCACCGUGGUGUUUCCUUGCUUGUUGCCACAUAUUAGAGAGAGAGAAAAGCAGAUUUCCAUCUCUUUGUGCGUGAUUGUUAGUUGUGUCCACUUUCUCAAUUUCUUAAGUUGUUGUUGUUAAAGAUGAAGAAUAUUGAUAUGGAAUGAGUAAUAAUUGUAGUUCUUGAAACUGAUCAGUAUAAUUACUCCAUUCUCAAAUAUUUUGAAGGAAAUUUACAAAAAAUUUUAAGGAUAUCUUAAAAAUAUAAUUUGUUAGUCCAAUGCUAAUUUCUUUUUGUGAAAUAAACUUAAGUAAUAUAUGUACAUUUUAGACAAAAUUAUCUGUUGGAUUUUUAAUUGAUAUUCAGAGAUAAUUGUUAUUCAGAGAUUUUAUUAAGGUAGUUUACCUUUUUAUUCUUGUGAUAUUUACAAAGCCACUAAAUUAUUUUCGUAGAGUGAUGAUGCUGCUAACACCAUGCUUCACCAUGGGGAUGGUGAUCUUUUGGUAGGGCUUUUUUUUUUUUUUUUUUUUUUUUGCACCAUACCUUUUUGGAAUUAUGGAAUUAUGGAAUUAUUAUACCUUUUGGAAUUGAUCUCAACAGACCAUAAGGUAUGCCACAUGGGUUGGGGUGAUUUAGUUUAGCUUGGAUUUUUUUUUUUUGUGAGAAAGGGCUUCCACCUAGCCAUCCUACCCCAUAACCUAAACAUCUGAAGAAUGAGAUAUUGUCACAUGCAGAGAGUAAUCAGUACUUG
Ictalurus punctatus (channel catfish) is the source of this 2824-nucleotide long non-coding RNA. Lineage: Eukaryota; Metazoa; Chordata; Actinopteri; Siluriformes; Ictaluridae. The record is from Ensembl.